GAUCUGGCUCAGGACGAACGCUGGCGGCGUGCUUAACACAUGCAAGUCGAACGGAAAGGCCCUGCUUUUGUGGGGUGCUCGAGUGGCGAACGGGUGAGUAACACGUGAGUAACCUGCCCUUGACUUUGGGAUAACUUCAGGAAACUGGGGCUAAUACCGGAUAGGAGCUCCUGCUGCAUGGUGGGGGUUGGAAAGUUUCGGCGGUUGGGGAUGGACUCGCGGCUUAUCAGCUUGUUGGUGGGGUAGUGGCUUACCAAGG
Molecule: ribosomal RNA, 259 nt
Filed under: uncultured bacterium
Lineage: Bacteria
Description: partial 16S ribosomal RNA
Rfam family: Bacterial small subunit ribosomal RNA
Source: RNAcentral